AUGCAUGCACGCAGCACCAAGCAUUUGCAUCAAUAUGUUUCAGAUGAUGAUUGUGCACAUGCAUACCUCGUUGGGAUAAAUCUACCCGUGGUACGCCACAGCAGCUGGAGGUUGGUCUGGCUCGCAGGGCCAUCCGCUUGUGCAGGUCGGCUCAGCGUUGGCCUUGUGCCCCACGCGAUCCCGGGUCCUGAGCGACCCGAGCAGUCUGAAGCAGCCCACGUCAGACAACGCAUGGGCAGGGAUGAUCAUCUGCUCUUCUCUUUUAUUAUUAUUAUUAUUAUUAUUAUUAUUAUUAUUAUUAUUAUUAUUAUUAUUACUCAAGUAGUGUCUAAUGAUCCAUUGUGCUGGUUUUCCUCACAAUUAUAG
Molecule: ribosomal RNA, 366 nt
Filed under: Triticum aestivum (bread wheat)
Lineage: Eukaryota; Viridiplantae; Streptophyta; Magnoliopsida; Poales; Poaceae
Description: partial small subunit ribosomal RNA
Source: RNAcentral